UGGGGGAUAUUGCACAAUGGGCGAAAGCCUGAUGCAGCAACGCCGCGUGAGGGAAGAAGGUCUUCGGAUUGUAAACCUUUGUCCUAAGUGAAGAAACAAAUGACGGUAACUUAGGAGGAAGCCACGGCUAACUACGUGCCAGCAGCCGCGGUAAUACGUAGGUGGCAAGCGUUGUCCGGAUUUACUGGGUGUAAAGGGUGCGCAGGCGGGAUCGCAAGUUGGAUGUGAAAUACCGGGGCUUAACUCCGGAGCUGCAUCCAAAACUGUGGUUCUUGAGAGAUGUAGAGGUAAGCGGAAUUCCGAGUGUAGCGGUGAAAUGCGUAGAUAUUCGGAGGAACACCAGUGGCGAAGGCGGCUUACUGGGCAUUUUCUGACGCUGAGGCACGAAAGUGUGGGGAGCAAACAGGAUUAGAUACCCUGGUAGU
RNAcentral lists this ribosomal RNA (425 nucleotides) under uncultured Clostridium sp. RNAcentral describes it as "bacterial SSU rRNA". It matches the Rfam family "Bacterial small subunit ribosomal RNA", at positions 355 to 794 of the family's 1533-position model. The record is from RNAcentral. Lineage: Bacteria; Bacillati; Bacillota; Clostridia; Eubacteriales; Clostridiaceae.